GUCCUGAACUUGCAUAGAUAUUUGACACUGGAUGUUUAAAAAUCAAUCAAUCAACUGGCUUCCAGUAAUUUUGAGUACUCUUAGUCUCAGAUCUGCGUGUAAUGGCCAGCCCACAAUUAUUCAAAUUCCUAAGCAGGUAGGGAUUUUACAGUAGAGGAUAUAAAGAAAUACGAAUUUCUUGAAUUUUGUUAGGCAUUGACUUUGUGUGUAUGUGUUUGUGUGGCUAGGGUGAAGGUUUAAGAUUCAAAAGAUUGAUGGUUGAUGUCUAGAAUAGUUUUAUUAUAUAUAGUAAGAUCAGUGUUCACGUGCCUAUUUUUUAAUGAAGGAUCGUCAAUAUGUACUAUAAAUUAAGUUAAAAGUAUAUAUCAAUCAGAACGGA
Molecule: long non-coding RNA, 379 nt
Filed under: Mytilus galloprovincialis (Mediterranean mussel)
Lineage: Eukaryota; Metazoa; Mollusca; Bivalvia; Mytilida; Mytilidae
Source: RNAcentral